UCGAACGGUAGCACACAAGAGCUUGCUCUCGGGUGACGAGUGGCGGACGGGUGAGUAAUGUCUGGGAAACUGCCUGAUGGAGGGGGAUAACUACUGGAAACGGUAGCUAAUACCGCAUAACGUCGCAAGACCAAAGAGGGGGACCUUCGGGCCUCUUGCCAUCAGAUGUGCCCAGAUGGGAUUAGCUAGUAGGUGGGGUAACGGCUCACCUAGGCGACGAUCCCUAGCUGGUCUGAGAGGAUGACCAGCCACACUGGAACUGAGACACGGUCCAGACUCCUACGGGAGGCAGCAGUGGGGAAUAUUGCACAAUGGGCGCAAGCCUGAUGCAGCCAUGCCGCGUGUAUGAAGAAGGCCUUCGGGUUGUAAAGUACUUUCAGCGGGGAGGAAGGGAGUAAGGUUAAUAACCUUAUUCAUUGACGUUACCCGCAGAAGAAGCACCGGCUAACUCCGUGCCAGCAGCCGCGGUAAUACGGAGGGUGCAAGCGUUAAUCGGAAUUACUGGGCGUAAAGCGCACGCAGGCGGUCUGUCAAGUCGGAUGUGAAAUCCCCGGGCUCAACCUGGGAACUGCAUUCGAAACUGGCAGGCUGGAGUCUUGUAGAGGGGGGUAGAAUUCCAGGUGUAGCGGUGAAAUGCGUAGAGAUCUGGAGGAAUACCGGUGGCGAAGGCGGCCCCCUGGACAAAGACUGACGCUCAGGUGCGAAAGCGUGGGGGAGCAAA
Molecule: ribosomal RNA, 721 nt
Filed under: Klebsiella sp. 6hN2
Lineage: Bacteria; Pseudomonadati; Pseudomonadota; Gammaproteobacteria; Enterobacterales; Enterobacteriaceae
Description: bacterial SSU rRNA
Rfam family: Bacterial small subunit ribosomal RNA
Source: RNAcentral